Molecule: small RNA, 107 nt
Filed under: Propithecus coquereli (Coquerel's sifaka)
Lineage: Eukaryota; Metazoa; Chordata; Mammalia; Primates; Indriidae
Description: Y RNA (ENSPCOG00000009666.1)
Source: RNAcentral
UAUAUAUCCAAAAGAACUGAAAAUAGGAUCUUCACAGCCAGUUACAGAUUGAACUCCUUGUUCUACUACUUUCCCCCCUUCUCACUACUGUACUUGACUAGUCUUAA